This is an RNA transcript of Daucus carota subsp. sativus, 1000 nucleotides long. It is a transcript of the gene named probable polygalacturonase, with no coding region annotated. The record is from RefSeq and is a predicted model, not a curated record. The transcript has 3 exons. Lineage: Eukaryota; Viridiplantae; Streptophyta; Magnoliopsida; Apiales; Apiaceae.
GAAACCUCACAAACACUCAGUCGACUCAAGAAAAAGAAGGCUGGAGAGGGAGGAGAGAGAGAGAAGGCGAGAGAGAGGAAGAAGGCGAGGAAGAGGGAGUGAGGAAGAAGGCGAUGGAGAAGAAAAGGCAAAGAGAUGGAAGAAAGUAAGCGAUAGAGAGAUUGUUUAGAGAGAAUUAUGAUCAGCCCCAUCUUCACAUGGAAUGGCAUUUGAUGCUGAGAGCACUUGCCAGUCCUAUUGGUCCCACAGGCUGGAAUGAAGCUCUGGAUAUAAUUGCUUAUGGUUCUCAUGAGCAGGAUAAUGCUCACUGGGAGGUUGUUGACGCCUUACCAUCAUAUGGACGAGGUAUUGAACUUCCUGGUGGUAGGUAUCGAAGCCUGAUUACAGGAAAUAAUCUAGUCGAUGUUGUAAUUACAGGUAGUGGAGCACCCUUUCAUAUUAGAAGAUGCAGUUUUCUUUUGAGCUCUUAUUGUUUUCUGUAUGUUAUUCUUAUGGAUUAUGGAUGAAUUAAUUUACUGCACAGGUGACAAUGGGACUAUAGAUAGCCAGGGUUCCGUUGGUGGGAGCACUUCAGUUCUCAUUGUUUAAACUACAGCCGACCACACCUGGUUGAUUACUCUUAAAAUAUUUACAGAGUAUAGUUAUGCUUAUAGUUGGUGGGCUACUAGUGUACUAGGAGUCCAUGAUUAAAAGAUUACUGGAUAGUCUAUUAAGUUCUAUUAAGUAGAAAUUGAUUAAAGAUUACAGGGGAGUCUCCAUGAUUAAGAGUUUAUAAGAAUAUAUAUCCAAGUCUAAUGGGAAACAUAUAUAAAAAAAGUGCGAGUCCCGAUACAAGUGUUUUCCCUUCGAUCAUCAUAUUGUAGUGUAUAUAUAGCCAUGCAAUACAACUCUAUAUAUUGUAAUUUAAAAUUAAAAAUAGUUAAGUUGUACAAGUGUUUUAGAUAGUUGACAGUUUAUUUAUUUAUUUUUCUUACUUAGAAAUGACAUGAUUAUAUACUUG